AUGCUCCACGACAGAAUCACAGAGAUGGGAGUGAAACAUGACCAGACAAGAUCUGCUGUAGAAGAAAAUAACAAAGAUCUGAAAUCUCUCAAAGAAAGACUGGCAGAGAUGGGAGUGAAACAUGACCAGACAAGAUCUGCUGUGGUAGAAGAAGAGCUGAAAUCAGUCAAGGAAAGGCUCAGAGAGAUGGAAGUGAAAUAUGACCAGACAAGAGCAGCUCUAAAUGACAAAGAUGAAGAACUAAAAUCAUUCAAAGACAGAGUGGCAAGAGAGGUCGCCCUUUCACUAAAGACGGGGAAAAACGCAGAGAGCAUGAACAACCCAGUCAGUAAAACCAGGCUUAUACAGAUGUAUGAAGAGCUGAGGCUGGAGUGGCCAAAGGUCAAAAAACACCUGAAAUCCAAUAAUGGAAACUCGGAGUCAGUCAGAGUCGACAUUCAGGUUGAAGAGUUCAGACUGCUAACGGUACAGAACCUGCAGCUGGCCGUCUACCACACCAGGACACAGCCUGACCCAAAGGCGAAAGAUGAAACCCCUCAGAACGUGGUGGAGCAGUUUAACUCUGAAUGUUACUGGCUCGGCUGUUUGAUGGCUUUAAAUGGUCCUCCUCUUCACCCUGACUGGGACAAUCACGUUCCGGGGAUGGACGCUUGGGACAUUUUCCCACGAAAAACUGCAGCUGUCGCUGUUUCCAACAACGAAUCUUUCUGUUAG
Molecule: long non-coding RNA, 714 nt
Filed under: Oreochromis niloticus (Nile tilapia)
Lineage: Eukaryota; Metazoa; Chordata; Actinopteri; Cichliformes; Cichlidae
Description: lncRNA (ENSONIG00000035893.1)
Source: RNAcentral